CCAUUCAUUAGAGGGACAGUGACCAAUGACAUCCAUUACGCACGGCCAUGAAUAUUUAUCUAGUGCCUUAUCCCUGUACCAGAGAGAAUAGGAAAAGAGUUAUGAAGAGGCUUUUUCUUCCACACCAGAUGACCAGUGUCCUUCCUCAGCUCAACUGAAAAAAUUAAGUGGACUGGUCUUCAGGUGUAUAAUGAAGAAAGAAUUAAAAUCCAAGGAGGAACAGAAGAAAAGUAUUGAAUCAAUAUUGGUGAUGUCCCAGAAUGAUUCUGGAUCUGGC
Long non-coding RNA from Lagenorhynchus albirostris (white-beaked dolphin), 277 nucleotides. RefSeq lists it as uncharacterized. The transcript is spliced from 3 exons. The record is from RefSeq and is a predicted model, not a curated record. NCBI's taxonomy places the organism in Eukaryota, Metazoa, Chordata, Mammalia, Artiodactyla, Delphinidae.